GCGAGAGUGGUGAAACUGGUAGACACGCCAGACUUAGGAUCUGGUGCGAAAAGCAUAAGGGUUCGAGUCCCUUCUCUCGCA
Molecule: transfer RNA, 81 nt
Filed under: Treponema sp.
Lineage: Bacteria; Pseudomonadati; Spirochaetota; Spirochaetia; Treponematales; Treponemataceae
Description: tRNA-Leu
Rfam family: tRNA
About the family: Transfer RNA (tRNA) molecules are approximately 80 nucleotides in length. Their secondary structure includes four short double-helical elements and three loops (D, anti-codon, and T loops). Further hydrogen bonds mediate the characteristic L-shaped molecular structure. tRNAs have two regions of fundamental functional importance: the anti-codon, which is responsible for specific mRNA codon recognition, and the 3' end, to which the tRNAs corresponding amino acid is attached (by aminoacyl-tRNA synthetases). tRNAs cope with the degeneracy of the genetic code in two manners: having more than one tRNA (with a specific anti-codon) for a particular amino acid; and 'wobble' base-pairing, i.e. permitting non-standard base-pairing at the 3rd anti-codon position.
Source: RNAcentral